Molecule: ribosomal RNA, 496 nt
Filed under: uncultured bacterium
Lineage: Bacteria
Description: partial 16S ribosomal RNA
Rfam family: Bacterial small subunit ribosomal RNA
Source: RNAcentral
AUUGAACGCUGGCGGAAUGCUUUACGCAUGCACGUCGAACGGUAGAGGGGGCAACCCCUCGAGAGUGGCGAACGGGUGAGUAAUAUAUCGGAACGUGCCCAGUCGUGGGGGAUAACGUAGUGAAAAUUACGCUAAUACCGCAUACGAUCUAUGGAUGAAAGCGGGGGAUCGCAAGACCUCGCGCGAUUGGAGCGGCCGAUAUCAGAUUAGGUAGUUGGUGGGGUAAAGGCCCACCAAGCCAACGAUCUGUAGCUGGUCUGAGAGGACGGCCAGCCACACUGGAACUGAGACACGGUCCAGACUCCUACGGGAGGCAGCAGUGGGGAAUUUUGGACAAUGGGCGAAAGCCUGAUCCAGCCAUUCCGCGUGCAGGAUGAAGGCCCUCGGGUUGUAAACUGCUUUUGUACAGAACGAAAAGGUUUCUACUAAUACUAGGAGCUCAUGACGGUACUGUAAGAAUAAGCACCGGCUAACUACGUGCCAGCCGCCGCGGUAA